Long non-coding RNA from Onychostruthus taczanowskii (white-rumped snowfinch), 3634 nucleotides. RefSeq lists it as uncharacterized. The record is from RefSeq and is a predicted model, not a curated record. The transcript is spliced from 3 exons. NCBI's taxonomy places the organism in Eukaryota, Metazoa, Chordata, Aves, Passeriformes, Passeridae.
CGCCUCGGGCCCGACCGGCGGGACCCCCGCGGGAGCUCCGGGCACACGGACACCGGUGCCCCGGGACCGACCGGCGGGACCCCCGCGGGAGCUCCGGGCACACGGACACCGGCGCCCCGGGACCGACCGGGUGUCCGCUCCCUCAGCUCCGGCCUCCUCCGAGAUGCAGCGGGGCAAAGCGACUCCUCACAGCUUUCGGAAGAAAAGCAGUUUGUAAAUUUUAAAAAAUGUUAAUAAAGGCAAGAAGCUGUAAAACUGAGUCUAGGUGACUGCAUCUGUCAGCAAACAUACCAGGUGUUGCUGUAGAGACAGACAAAUGUCUGGGAAUGGCACACCUCAUAGGGCUCAGUCACUCUCAGCCUGUCCCACUUCACCCUCUGUGGCUUCAUGGAUUUUGAAAAAGAUGGUAAAGGAGAAGAAUCACACAGCCUUCAACACAUUUUGGAUGAGCCACAUCCAGAUCUGAUGUCCCUGUCUCCUGCCCAUCAGCAGCUCUGGUGAAACCCUCUACAGCUUGGGCAGCAAGCAAGUGUGAAGGGCAGGACAGAAGUGCUGCCAGCCUCAGGAUUCCUGAAUCAUGACUCAACAAUGAGGAGAUGCUGGAACCUAAAGGUUUGCUUGUGCCCCUAGAACAAGAUGGACAAUAGUGCUUGUUUGGCCAGCUCCUUGCCCACCCCCUGCCUCAAGUCUCCUUGUUCUGUUAUCUGAAUGCUCUUCCUGCUCUUUGGUUCCUUAAUGAGCCUGGCACAGCUUGUUCUUUCCUAUCUCCACAUCCAGUGUUGUUACACCCCUCCUACCAUUUUUAGCUCCUCUUUUGCUCCUCGUUUCACUGGCUCCAAUACUGCUGCUCUCUCCACAGCUCCCAAGACUAGCUGCUUGCUUUUUCAAAUAGUCUUCCCUCUCUCUAGGCCUUGCUUCCACUACAGCAAUCACUCUUGACUUUUAUAAUCCCAUGCACUCUGAUUUUCCAUCUAGUCACGUUAUUCAGCCAGUCAAGGUUCUUUUCUCCCAAAGGGUUCCAUCCCUUUGUUUUCCAGUAACUCCUUCUGUCUUUAUCCUCACAACAGACAGUAUCAUAAAGCUCCUGGCCCUGAUCUAUUCUCCAUGUUUCCCUUCCCCAAGGGACUUGCUGUUCUCCUUUCACUCAGCUGCUCCUCCUUCCCCUGCCUGGUCCAGAGCAGUCACCAGAGGUUGGGUCCUUACCCAAGAUGGCUGGCGCUCACAUAACCUUAUCCCACCUUUGUGACACAGUGUUGACAACAGAUCUUGGAAGAACUACACAGGGAAAAUCUCAAAUGUCCCUACAGAGCAUGCAUGAAAUGGAUUUUUUUUAAAGGUUUAUCAUUGAUCAAAAUUUGACAUGGAUUUUUAUGGGGACAGUGAGUAGUGUAGCUCUGACAUAAGGACAGCUCUCCUUCAUAGGUUUCAGCUUCCUCCUCCAAAGCAGUUGGGCAAAAGACUGUUCUUUUUAGCAUACACUUUAACACUCAAAUCCAAAAUAUUUUGCUCUGCCUUUUAUUUCUCCCUGAGUAGAUUUAAUGUACAGGCUGAAGCCAUAUUUAAAAAGAAAACAAAAAUUAUAAAAAAAUCAGAUGUAGGCAGACAGCCAGAAUGGAACAUUUCAGCUCCAAUCACAAAAAUUACAAGCAACUGAAUGGUUUAGGGUAGGAAUGCCCAGUCUAUCUAAUUCCAUCUCUGCUGGUAAAUUUCUCCUUGCUAAACCUGCACUUUGAACUUGCCACUCUGGGCUCAAUCACAUUGCUGUCCCCAGCAGCUUCAGAGUAAGGCAGGAAUACAGGACUUGCUUUGCCAUAGAUCAGGGCUUCUCAGAAGCUUUGUCUGAAUUGUGAGGCAGGUGGGGAAAUGAGGCCUGAUAACUGGAAACAAAUUCACACACAAAGCCUAAAAUAUUUCUGUGGAAAGAGAGAAGGUCAAACGCAAAAGCUGGAGCUUCUCAUAACGCGGUUGGUCUGUUAGCAAUGUCACCAGUGUAAAUCAAUCCAUUUAAAAACAGUCUUGUCACACCUCCAUAAAUGGCUAAUGUGGACAUGUUCAAAGCCUCACCUAAGACAGAACAUUUUGAAGUGGUAUAAUUAAAUCUGGUGUAUUCUUAAAGGAUGAGGCACCUGUUCUCUGAGUGCAAUCAAACUGAGAGCCUGCAGGCUGGCAUGGCUCGCUGCCCGGGACGCCGAUGCCGUUCCUGUGCCCGCUUGCAGCUCACAGACGCUGGGUGGCAACUCUCGCUCCUGCAGAAAUGCAGCUCCUGCUCCCGGGGCAGCAGCCGGGCUGCAGCACUCACCCUGUCUGCCUGUGAGAGGUGCAAGACGGGAAAGGCUGCACGGCACAGGACCUGACAUGGUGGCUGAGGAGAACAGGAGGAGAGGAGGAAAUGGCUGCUGGCAGGGCAGGCAGGCCCUGACAAGUGGGAUGCUCCAGCAGGGUCUGUACACGGCCACUGCAGUCAGAACAGCCCUCCUCCCGCAGCUGUGGUGCCGUGAAAAGCUGGGCUUCCCACUGCAGCAGGCACUGAGCAGGCACAUCUGCUCUGCUGCCAGAGCCAAGAGAGGAGCAACAUCUACUGCAGGAGCCAGGGGACAGGAGCACCCAAACUGUGACGAUUUCCACUAAGCAAGCGUGUGCCCAAACCAGAGAUUUAUCCAAUUAAAAGCCAGGCUUGGAGCAGUUUAAGUUUGUCCUCUGCAUUAGGCAUUAUGAUGUUUUACUAAACAGAUGUAAAGUUGCUUUAAACAUCACGUGCAAAUGGUGUGGUGUGGACUGUACACUGCAAACUAGAGCUCUGUGUUAACUCAAACUGGCGCAACCUCGCUUGGCCCUUCAGCUACUCUCUAGGUAAAAGAAAGCAAAAACGGGUAUAUUCCCAAGGAGGCAGGCUGGAGACUGGCUUAAUAGGUGCCCAAGAGCACAGAAACCUUUAAAAAAACGAGAGGGAAGAAUUGUCAGAAGGACUCAGGGCUUCCAUUCUCUGAGUCCAGAGCUCCCUCUCCAAGUCACUGGAGUGCUGCGUGUGUCUGCCCGCUUGUUUCUCACAGAUGCCAGAGAAUCAUCUGCAAACAAAACGUAUGACAGGCAGAAUAAAACGGGCAGCAAUUUGCAGACUCCAUCCUCGACCGCCUCAUGCUCCCCUGCAGACGCUUUCCCUGUAAAACAGAUCCGCCACAGGGGGACUCCCUGUAAAACACAGAGUUUGCAAAGGGGGCUCCUGCGUUUGCUGCCGGAAAGCCAACAGACAAAGGGACCACACCUCAGCGGCAGCGCCGGUGCCGGUGGCCGCCGCUGGGGCCGCGGUGGGCACGCAGCCACGGGCGUGCUCCUGGCAGACCCCUUCUCUGGUUUCACCGGGGCGAGGCCCGAUGGAGCACCUUCCCCAAUGGAAGCAGCAGCCGUGGGUUCCUCACAGGGAAAAGAGAAUGCUUCCUGCCUUUCCUUGCAGCAGCAUCCGAACUUGCUGCUGCUGCUGCUCUAAGACCCUAAGACCUUGAAUGUUCUGCCAGGAUCUGACUGAAGGGAUGCAGGCAUCUUCACUGCAUCCCAUCCAACAAGGAAACACCUCACUCUCUUGUCACCAUUCAUUACUAUUUCCCAGCCCACCUUUUAAUCCACAAAGUCUAUAAUU